UACGAAGGGUGCAAACGUUGCUCGGAAUUAUUGGGCGUAAAGGGCUCGUAGGCGGUUUGUCGCGUCGGGAGUGAAAACCAGGUGCUUAACACCUGGCUUGCUUUCGAUACGGGCAGACUAGAGGCAUGCAGGGGAGAACGGAAGUUCCUGGUGUAGCGGUGAAAUGACGCAGAUAUCGGGAAGGAACACCUGUGGCGAAGGCGGCCCCCUGGUUGGAUACUGACGCUGAGACGCGAAAGCGUGGGUAGCAAACAGG
This 256-nucleotide ribosomal RNA is filed under the name uncultured bacterium. RNAcentral describes it as "partial 16S ribosomal RNA". It matches the Rfam family "Bacterial small subunit ribosomal RNA", at positions 524 to 776 of the family's 1533-position model. The record is from RNAcentral.